CAUUCACGGAGAGUUUGAUCCUGGCUCAGGACGAACGCUGGCGGCGUGCUUAACACAUGCAAGUCGAACGAUGAACC
This 77-nucleotide ribosomal RNA is filed under the name Streptomyces sp. WAC05458. RNAcentral's name for it is "partial 16S ribosomal RNA". It matches the Rfam family "Bacterial small subunit ribosomal RNA", at positions 1 to 75 of the family's 1533-position model. Lineage: Bacteria; Bacillati; Actinomycetota; Actinomycetes; Kitasatosporales; Streptomycetaceae. RNAcentral also lists the same sequence under 1 other name. The record is from RNAcentral.